CAUCAUGUGGCAUAGUGGUUUGAGUGUUGGAAUACAACUCUGGAGACCAGGGUUCGAUUCCCUGCUCUACUA
RNAcentral lists this transfer RNA (72 nucleotides) under Phrynosoma platyrhinos (Desert horned lizard). RNAcentral's name for it is "tRNA-OTHER". Lineage: Eukaryota; Metazoa; Chordata; Lepidosauria; Squamata; Phrynosomatidae. The record is from RNAcentral.